AAAUAAGAAGUAAAAAUUACAUUUAGUUUCGACCUAAAAUUUGGUAUUAAACACCCUUAUUUA
RNAcentral lists this transfer RNA (63 nucleotides) under Deronectes hispanicus. RNAcentral describes it as "tRNA-Arg". Lineage: Eukaryota; Metazoa; Arthropoda; Insecta; Coleoptera; Dytiscidae. The record is from RNAcentral.